RNAcentral lists this ribosomal RNA (434 nucleotides) under uncultured bacterium. RNAcentral describes it as "partial 16S ribosomal RNA". It matches the Rfam family "Bacterial small subunit ribosomal RNA", at positions 29 to 507 of the family's 1533-position model. The record is from RNAcentral.
AGCGAACGCUGGCGGCAGGCCUAACACAUGCAAGUCGAACGAACCUUUCGGGGUUAGUGGCGGACGGGUGAGUAACACGUGGGAACGUGCCUUUAGGUUCGGAAUAACUCAGGGAAACUUGUGCUAAUACCGAAUGUGCCCUUCGGGGGAAAGAUUAAUCGCCUUUAGAGCGGCUCGCGUCUGAUUAGCUAGUUGGUUGAGGUAAUGGCUCACCAAGGCGACGAUCAGUAGCUGGUCUGAGAGGAUGAUCAGCCACAUUGGGACUGAGACACGGCCCAAACUCCUACGGGAGGCAGCAGUGGGGAAUCUUGCGCAAUGGGCGAAAGCCUGACGCAGCCAUGCCGCGUGAAUGAUGAAGGUCUUAGGAUUGUAAAAUUCUUUCACCGGGGACGAUAAUGACGGUACCCGGAGAAGAAGCCCCGGCUAACUUCGUG